UACGGGAGGCAGCAGUGGGGAAUAUUGCACAAUGGGCGCAAGCCUGAUGCAGCCAUGCCGCGUGUAUGAAGAAGGCCUUCGGGUUGUAAAGUACUUUCAGUCGUGAGGAAGGUGUUAAGGUUAAUAACCUUAGCAAUUGACGUUAGCGACAGAAGAAGCACCGGCUAACUCCGUGCCAGCAGCCGCGGUAAUACGGAGAGGGCUAGCGUUAUUCGGAAUUAUUGGGCGUAAAGAGCGCGUAGGCUGAUUAGUAAGUUAAAGUGAAAUCCCAAAGCUUAACUUUGGAAUUGCUUUUAAAACUGCUAGUCUAGAGAUUGAAAGAGGAUAGAGGAAUUCCUAGUGUAGAGGUGAAAUUCGUAAAUAUUAGGAGGAACACCAGUGGCGAAAGGCGUCUAUCUGGUUCAAAUCUGACGCUGAGGCGCGAAGGCGUGGGGAGCAAACAGGGAUUAGAUACC
This 455-nucleotide ribosomal RNA is filed under the name uncultured bacterium. RNAcentral's name for it is "bacterial SSU rRNA". It matches the Rfam family "Bacterial small subunit ribosomal RNA", at positions 340 to 786 of the family's 1533-position model. The record is from RNAcentral.